Molecule: ribosomal RNA, 491 nt
Filed under: uncultured bacterium
Lineage: Bacteria
Description: partial 16S ribosomal RNA
Rfam family: Bacterial small subunit ribosomal RNA
Source: RNAcentral
AGUGAACGCUGGCGGUAGGCCUAACACAUGCAAGUCGAACGGCAGCACAGUAAGAGCUUGCUCUUACGGGUGGCGAGUGGCGGACGGGUGAGGAAUACAUCGGAAUCUACUUUUUUGUGGGGGAUAACGUAGGGAAACUUACGCUAAUACCGCAUACGACCUACGGGUGAAAGCAGGGGAUCUUCGGACCUUGCGCGAUUGAAUGAGCCGAUGUCGGAUUAGCUAGUUGGCGGGGUAAAGGCCCACCAAGGCGACGAUCCGUAGCUGGUCUGAGAGGAUGAUCAGCCACACUGGAACUGAGACACGGUCCAGGCACCGACGGGAGGCAGCAGUGGGGAAUAUUGGACAAUGGGCGCAAGCCUGAUCCAGCCAUACCGGGUGGGUGAAGAAGGCCUGCGGGUUGUAAAGCCCUUUUGUUGGGAAAGAAAAGCAGCAGGUUAAUACCACGCUGUUCUGACGGUACCCAAAGAAUAAGCACCGGCUAACUUCGU